GGAUGUGCAGGCGAUCUGGCAGUGACAUAUGUCACCCCAUUGAUUGCCAGGGUUGAUUCAGUUGAUCUGGCUGGCUAGACAGGUGUCCCCUUCCUCCAUCACCACUCUGUGUGCAUCCCUUCCGAAGCUGUGCACAAGAUCAAAGAUGAUGACCUUCCCCGAAUAGAUGAGGACCAGCCUUCCGUCAAGGGUAUAUGAGUAGCUGUGCUCCCCUGUCAAAACCUCUAAAGAACCUCUCUAGAAUAGCAAUAGUGACUGUCCUCUGACUCACUGAUGAGAACUCUGUGACUGUGAAGAAUCAGACUAUUAUAGACCCAGAGCUAAAAUCUUCUUAUGUUAUCUUU
RNAcentral lists this small nuclear RNA (344 nucleotides) under Neotoma lepida (desert woodrat). RNAcentral's name for it is "7SK RNA". It matches the Rfam family "7SK RNA". From Rfam's summary of the family: 7SK was discovered as an abundant small nuclear RNA in the mid-70s but a possible function has only recently been suggested. Two independent studies have found that 7SK RNA binds the CDK9/cyclin T complex (known as elongation factor P-TEFb). P-TEFb activates transcription by phosphorylating the C-terminal domain of RNA polymerase II. Lineage: Eukaryota; Metazoa; Chordata; Mammalia; Rodentia; Cricetidae. The record is from Rfam by way of RNAcentral.